GGGGAAUAUUGCACAAUGGGCGAAAGCCUGAUGCAGCAACGCCGCGUGAGUGAUGAAGGCCUACGGGUUGUAAAGCUCUGUCUUCUGGGACGAUAAUGACGGUACCAGAGGAGGAAGCCACGGCUAACUACGUGCCAGCAGCCGCGGUAAUACGUAGGUGGCAAGCGUUGUCCGGAUUUACUGGGCGUAAAGGAUGCGUAGGCGGAUACUUAAGUCAGAUGUGAAAAUCCCGGGCUUAACUUGGGAACUGCAUUUGAAACUGGGUAUCUAGAGUGCGGGAGAGGAAAGUGGAAUUCCUAGUGUAGCGGUGAAAUGCGUAGAGAUUAGGAAGAACACCAGUGGCGAAGGCGACUUUCUGGACCGUAACUGACGCUGAGGCAUGAAAGCGUGGGGAGCAAACA
Molecule: ribosomal RNA, 401 nt
Filed under: uncultured bacterium
Lineage: Bacteria
Description: bacterial SSU rRNA
Rfam family: Bacterial small subunit ribosomal RNA
Source: RNAcentral